RNAcentral lists this ribosomal RNA (240 nucleotides) under uncultured bacterium. RNAcentral describes it as "partial 16S ribosomal RNA". It matches the Rfam family "Bacterial small subunit ribosomal RNA", at positions 95 to 334 of the family's 1533-position model. The record is from RNAcentral.
CCGGCGCACGGGUGAGUAACGCGUAUGCAACUUACCUAUCAGAGGGGGAUAACCCGGCGAAAGUCGGACUAAUACCGCAUGAAGCAGGGAUCCCGCAUGGGAAUAUUUGCUAAAGAUUCAUCGCUGAUAGAUAGGCAUGCGUUCCAUUAGGCAGUUGGCGGGGUAACGGCCCACCAAACCGACGAUGGAUAGGGGUUCUGAGAGGAAGGUCCCCCACAUUGGUACUGAGACACGGGCCAA